Molecule: long non-coding RNA, 265 nt
Filed under: Homo sapiens (human)
Lineage: Eukaryota; Metazoa; Chordata; Mammalia; Primates; Hominidae
Description: HSALNT0156818
Source: RNAcentral
ACGGACAGCGGCUGGGCCCAGCCUUUCCGGCCGAGGAGGCGGAGGGGCGCCUCCCCACAGCUCAGUGCAGGUCUCGGGAGGUGAAGGAGCCACCCCCAGGUAAGCACCCUGGAAACACCGCGUGGGCCUCCACGGCGCCAGACACUUCCCCCACAUCCAGCAGAGCCUGUCCGAGGCUGGAGCUCAGCCACUGGACAAGGACGGAAAGCAAAGAAGAUGGGCCCUGGUGGCCCCCCACCCUGGCCUCAGACCCCUUCACUGCAAG